Molecule: ribosomal RNA, 524 nt
Filed under: uncultured bacterium
Lineage: Bacteria
Description: bacterial SSU rRNA
Rfam family: Bacterial small subunit ribosomal RNA
Source: RNAcentral
UGGGGAAUAUUGGACAAUGGACCAAGAGUCUGAUCCAGCAAUUCUGUGUGCACGAUGAAGUUUUUCGGAAUGUAAAGUGCUUUCAGUUGGGAAGAAAAAAAUGACAGUACCAACAGAAGAAGUGACGGCUAAAUACGUGCCAGCAGCCGCGGUAAUACGUAUGUCACAAGCGUUAUCCGGAUUUAUUGGGCGUAAAGCGCGUCUAGGUGGUUAUGUAAGUCUGAUGUGAAAAUGCAGGGCUCAACUCUGUAUUGCGUUGGAAACUGUGUAACUAGAGUACUGGAGAGGUAAGCGGAACUACAAGUGUAGAGGUGAAAUUCGUAGAUAUUUGUAGGAAUGCCGAUGGGGAAGCCAGCUUACUGGACAGAUACUGACGCUGAAGCGCGAAAGCGUGGGUAGCAAACAGGAUUAGAUACCCUGGUAGUCCACGCCGUAAACGAUGAUUACUAGGUGUUGGGGGUCGAACCUCAGCGCCCAAGCAAACGCGAUAAGUAAUCCGCCUGGGGAGUACGUACGCAAGUAUG